Molecule: long non-coding RNA, 679 nt
Organism: Mytilus californianus (California mussel)
Lineage: Eukaryota; Metazoa; Mollusca; Bivalvia; Mytilida; Mytilidae
Exons: 2
Source: RefSeq, a predicted model, not a curated record
AGGAGUCAGAUGGGCUAGUGCAUUCAUUUCCAUAAUCUGGACUCAGUGACUGUUCAAGGCUUUACUCAAUACCCGAGUGUACAUUUCCAGUUACUAUUUACAAUGAUUUAUGUGUAACCUAAAUUUCAUAUUGUUACACUUUUUCGUCACUAGUCAGAUAGAAUUAGACACAUCUCUGGAGAAGAAAAAAAUCUUUGUAACGUUCAAGACAAAAUUAAUGAAAAGGAUCAAGUAACUAAUACAACUAUAUGCUUGUAGUACAGAUGUAAAUUUUUUGGAAAUGUUUCAAACUGAAGCAACACUUCAAAGCUUUCCGAUAAUAUAUUAAACCAGGAGACGUAUUAGCUACAAUUUGAUUUUAAGAUGACACUGGACAUUCUUAGUUGUUUAUUACUCAAUGAAUAGUUAGUUUAUAGCAUAAGUUAUUGUGACCCUAUUCAUCUGUUAUAAUGAUAGUUACUUCAUUUUUUUAAAAAUGCAUUGAUAUUUGUUUAUGAUCAAUGAUUCAGAAAAACAAGUGUUUGUUUGUUUGUUUUCUUUAGAAAAUGUAAUACCAAGAGUGAAGGUCUUUGAAAUAGAAAUCUAUGGAUUUUCUUUUCUUUAUGGAGUAAAAUGGUAUUUCAUGUAUAUGUUGUAUCAAACAUGUAAAUACAAGAAAUAAAUUACAUAUCAUCAAUUA